UAACCCUCAAGCUCAGCUUGGUGUUGGGGCCUGCCUACUGGCAGCCCUUAAAAUCAGUGGCAGUGCUAUUUGGCUCUAAGCGUAGUAACUUUUCUCGCUACAGAGUCCUGGUAGAUACUCGCCAAAAGCCUAAUUUUCUAUG
RNAcentral lists this unclassified non-coding RNA (142 nucleotides) under uncultured Helotiales. RNAcentral's name for it is "sequence contains ITS2". The record is from RNAcentral. Lineage: Eukaryota; Fungi; Ascomycota; Leotiomycetes; Helotiales.